Molecule: microRNA precursor, 102 nt
Filed under: Ciona savignyi (Pacific transparent sea squirt)
Lineage: Eukaryota; Metazoa; Chordata; Ascidiacea; Phlebobranchia; Cionidae
Description: microRNA csa-mir-124 precursor (csa-mir-124-2)
Gene: csa-mir-124-2
Rfam family: mir-124 microRNA precursor family (bases 23-92)
About the family: The mature ~21nt miRNAs are processed from hairpin precursor sequences represented here, in this case originating from the 3' arm. The bounds of the precursors are predicted based on conservation and base pairing and are not generally known.
Source: miRBase by way of RNAcentral
GUGACGUAAAAUCAAUAAUGCGCUUCAUCCGCGUUUGCUGCGGACCUUCUUGUGUGACAUCACAAUAAGGCACGCGGUGAAUGCCAAUGAAACGUCAUCACU